UACAGAGGUGGCAAGCGUUGUUCGGAAUUACUGGGCAUAAAGGGCGCGUAGGCGGUUCGUUAAGUCCUGUGUGAAAUCCCCCGGCUCAACUGGGGAACUGCACAGGAAACUAGCGGGCUUGAGUUCGGGAGAGGGAAGCGGAAUUCCGGGUGUAGCGGUGAAAUGCGUAGAUAUCCGGAGGAACACCGGUGGCGAAGGCGGCUUCCUGGACCGACACUGACGCUGAGGCGCGAAAGCUAGGGGAGCAAACGGG
Molecule: ribosomal RNA, 253 nt
Filed under: uncultured bacterium
Lineage: Bacteria
Description: partial 16S ribosomal RNA
Rfam family: Bacterial small subunit ribosomal RNA
Source: RNAcentral